AUUGAACGCUGGCGGCAGGCCUAACACAUGCAAGUCGAACGGCAGCGGGGAGUAGCUUGCUACUCUGCCGGCGAGUGGCGGACGGGUGAGUAAUGCCUGGGGAGCUGCCCAAUCGAGGGGGAUACCAGUUGGAAACGACUGCUAAUACCGCAUACGCCCUGAGGGGGAAAGGUGGGGAUCUUCGGACCUACCGCGAUUGGAUGCACCCAGGUGGGAUUAGCUAGUUGGUGAGGUAACGGCUCACCAAGGCGACGAUCUCUAGCUGGUCUGAGAGGAUGACCAGCCACACUGGAACUGAGACACGGUCCAGACUCCUACGGGAGGCAGCAGUGGGGAAUAUUGCACAAUGGGGGAAACCCUGAUGCAGCCAUGCCGCGUGUGUGAAGAAGGCCUC
This 394-nucleotide ribosomal RNA is filed under the name uncultured bacterium. RNAcentral's name for it is "bacterial SSU rRNA". It matches the Rfam family "Bacterial small subunit ribosomal RNA", at positions 29 to 418 of the family's 1533-position model. The record is from RNAcentral.